CCUACGGGCGGCAGCAGUAGGGAAUCUUCCACAAUGGGCGAAAGCCUGAUGCAGCAACGCCGCGUGGGUGAAGAAGGUCUUCGGAUCGUAAAACCCUGUUGUUAGAGAAGAAAGUGCGUGAGAGUAACUGUUCACGUUUCGACGGUAACUAACCAGAAAGCCACGGCUAACUACGUGCCAGCAGCCGCGGUAAUACGUAGGUGGCAAGCGUUAUCCGGAUUUAUUGGGCGUAAAGGGAACGAAGGCGGUCUUUUAAGUCUGAUGUGAAAGCCUGCGGCUUAACCGGAGUAGUGCAUUGGAAACUGGGAGACUUGAGUGCAGAAGAGGAGAGUGGAACUCCAUGUGUAGCGGUGAAAUGCGUAGAUAUAUGGAAGAACACCAGUGGCGAAAGCGGCUCUCUGGUCUGUAACUGACGCUGAGGUUCGAAAGCGUGGGUAGCAAACAGGAUUAGAUACCCCUGUAGUC
Molecule: ribosomal RNA, 465 nt
Filed under: uncultured bacterium
Lineage: Bacteria
Description: partial 16S ribosomal RNA
Rfam family: Bacterial small subunit ribosomal RNA
Source: RNAcentral